RNAcentral lists this ribosomal RNA (253 nucleotides) under uncultured bacterium. RNAcentral's name for it is "partial 16S ribosomal RNA". It matches the Rfam family "Bacterial small subunit ribosomal RNA", at positions 524 to 776 of the family's 1533-position model. The record is from RNAcentral.
UACGGGGGGUGCAAGCGUUGCUCGGAAUCACUGGGCGUAAAGCGUCCGCAGGCGGCUUGGUAAGUCGGGUGUGAAAUCCCGGGGCUCAACCCCGGAACUGCAUUCGAAACUGCCUGGCUUGAGUACGGGAGAGGGUCGUGGAAUUCCUGGUGUAGAGGUGAAAUUCGUAGAUAUCAGGAGGAACACCGGUGGCGAAAGCGGCGACCUGGCCCGAUACUGACGCUCAUGGACGAAAGCGUGGGGAGCAAACAGG